GAUUAACGCUAGCGGCAGGCCUAAUACAUGCAAGUCGAACGGUAACAGGUCCAGCAAUGGAUGCUGACGAGUGGCGCACGGGUGCGUAACACGUAUGCAAUCUACCUUUAACUGGGGGAUAGCCCCGAGAAAUCGGGAUUAAUACCCCAUACUAUUAUGAUGAGGCAUCUCAUUAUAAUCAAAGCUCCGGCGGUUUUAGAUGAGCAUGCGCGACAUUAGCUAGUUGGUGAGGUAACGGCUCACCAAGGCUUCGAUGUCUAGGGGUUCUGAGAGGAUUCACCCCCACACUGGUACUGAGACACGGACCAGACUCCUACGGGUGGCAG
This 326-nucleotide ribosomal RNA is filed under the name uncultured Bacteroidota bacterium. RNAcentral describes it as "bacterial SSU rRNA". It matches the Rfam family "Bacterial small subunit ribosomal RNA", at positions 28 to 351 of the family's 1533-position model. Lineage: Bacteria; Pseudomonadati; Bacteroidota. The record is from RNAcentral.